Molecule: long non-coding RNA, 320 nt
Filed under: Sus scrofa (pig)
Lineage: Eukaryota; Metazoa; Chordata; Mammalia; Artiodactyla; Suidae
Description: lncRNA (ENSSSCG00070017835.1)
Source: RNAcentral
AUGUUGGGGGUACCACGAGGAAGCGGCUUUGUAUUCAGAAGUGGUUGCUAUUUACUUUCUCAUCAUUGCAAAGUUGUAGCAAAUGGUUGGAGUUCUUCACAGGCUGCCCUGGAGAAAGACUUCUUAGAGACAUGGAGACACGGAGCUCUACUUCCCUUCAGAGAAGUCUGGAUGUUCUGCUUUGGCCAAGUUCCCUCUGGUCGUGUUCCUUCCUUCCGUCAGUCAGCCAGUCAUCCAACAAAGGCACCGUCUAGAAGUCGUUUUUGAUUAGAAGUUGACCUCAGAAGUAUGCGCGCAUCAUUUUGAAAACAUCUGCCGGC